UUUGACACGCUGAUGACCAGUUUCUUUUGCUUCUGCCACGACCAGUGUGAGGCGUUUUGAUGUAACAGACUUGAUGUUAUUGAGGAGUGCAGGUCGAGAACAUCAACAUAAGCAGUCCAGCAUCGGAGUGCUUCCUCUCCUCCAGGGAACGUGUGACAGGAAAAGUAAAUAACGGCUCCGGAGGCCGUCGGCUGGUCAAAACAAGGCGCAGAGCUGGGGCCUGCACGCCGGAAACGCACACGCACUGCACGUGCACCUCCUGCUGGCAGUGCAGUGGUGUUACCUGUGGAGGCCAUGGUGAGCAACAGGAGCGUUGAGGGGUAGAGGGCCUGUCCUGCCAUGAGGAGGGAGCGCGUGUUGGAGUAGGAGUGCACCGUCUCAGAUCUCCAGCAGAGGGCGAACACCAGACACAAAGCACCAGUGCUGGCGGCCAUGAGGAAGGAAAGAACUCCAAAUACUCUCUCUGCUUCCAGCACUGGAAGACACAUAGACGACCACAUACAGUUCAAAAAAAGGGAAGGAGAAACUAGACUCUUAUAUCGACCUUUAAGCGGAUUACAUUUUUGUUAUAAACAGGCAG
Molecule: long non-coding RNA, 580 nt
Organism: Gasterosteus aculeatus aculeatus (three-spined stickleback)
Lineage: Eukaryota; Metazoa; Chordata; Actinopteri; Perciformes; Gasterosteidae
Source: Ensembl